CCCUUAGAGUUUGAUCCUGGCUCAGAAUCAACGCUGGCGGCGCGCUUAACACAUGCAAGUCGAACGAGAAAGCCCGCAAGGGUGAGUAAAGUGGCGUACGGGUGAGUAACACGUGGGUGAUCUACCUCUUGGUGGGGAAUAACCCUGGGAAACCGGGGCUAAUACCGCAUAAGCUCGCCACUUAAGGUGGUGAGGAAAGGUGCAAAUCGCCGAGAGAGGAGCCCGCGGCCGAUUAGCUAGUUGGUGAGGUAAAGGCUCACCAAGGCAAAGAUCGGUAGCCGGCCUGAGAGGGCACACGGCCACACUGGCACUGAAACACGGGCCAGACUCCUACGGGAGGCAGCAGUGGGGAAUCUUGCACAAUGGGGGAAACCCUGAUGCAGCGACGCCGCGUGAGCGAUGAAGCCCUUCGGGGUGUAAAGCUCUUUCGACGGGAACGAUAAUGACGGUACCCGGAGAAGAAGCUGCGGCUAACUACGUGCCAGCAGCCGCGGUAAUACGUAGGCAGCAAGCGUUGUUCGGAGUUACUGGGCGUAAAGAGUGCGUAGGCGGUGAUCUAAGUCUGGUGUGAAAUCUCCCGGCUCAACUGGGAGGGUGCGCCGGAAACUGGGUUGCUAGAGUGUGGGAGAGGUAAGCGGAAUUCCUGGUGUAGCGGUGAAAUGCGUAGAUAUCACGAGGAACACCGGUGGUGUAGACGGCUUACUGGACCAUAACUGACGCUGAGGCACGAAAGCGUGGGGAGCAAACAGG
RNAcentral lists this ribosomal RNA (750 nucleotides) under uncultured bacterium. RNAcentral describes it as "bacterial SSU rRNA". It matches the Rfam family "Bacterial small subunit ribosomal RNA", at positions 1 to 776 of the family's 1533-position model. The record is from RNAcentral.